GCAAGUCGAACGGCAGCGCGGGGCAACCUGGCGGCGAGUGGCGAACGGGUGAGUAAUAUAUCGGAACGUGCCCUGGAGUGGGGGAUAACGCAGCGAAAGUUGCGCUAAUACCGCAUACGAUCUAAGGAUGAAAGCGGGGGAUUCGCAAGAACCUCGUGCUCCUGGAGCGGCCGAUAUCUGAUUAGCUAGUUGGUGGGGUAAAGGCCUACCAAGGCAUCGAUCAGUAGCUGGUCUGAGAGGACGACCAGCCACACUGGAACUGAGACACGGUCCAGACUCCUACGGGAGGCAGCAGUGGGGAAUUUUGGACAAUGGGCGCAAGCCUGAUCCAGCAAUGCCGCGUGAGUGAAGAAGGCCUUCGGGUUGUAAAGCUCUUUUGUCAGGGAAGAAACGGUGCGGGCUAAUAUCCUGCACUAAUGACGGUACCUGAAGAAUAAGCACCGGCUAACUACGUGCCAGCAGCCGCGGUAAUACGUAGGGUGCAAGCGUUAAUCGGAAUUACUGGGCGUAAAGCGUGCGCAGGCGGUUUUGUAAGUUUGUCGUGAAAUCCCCGGGCUCAACCUGGGAAUUGCGAUGAAGACUGCAAGGCUAGAAUCUGGCAGAGGGGGGUAGAAUUCCACGUGUAGCAGUGAAAUGCGUAGAGAUGUGGAGGAACACCGAUGGCGAAGGCAGCCCCCUGGGUCAAGAUUGACGCUCAUGCACGAAAGCGUGGGGAGCAAACAGGAUUAGAUACCCUGGUAGUCCACGCCCUAAACGAUGUCUACUAGUUGUCGGGUUUUAAUUAACUUGGUAACGCAGCUAACGCGUGAAGUAGACCGCCUGGGGAGUACGGUCGCAAGANUAAAACUCAAAGGAAUUGACGGGGACCCGCACAAGCGGUGGAUGAUGUGGAUUAAUUCGAUGCAACGCGAAAAA
RNAcentral lists this ribosomal RNA (915 nucleotides) under uncultured bacterium. Its description in RNAcentral is "bacterial SSU rRNA". It matches the Rfam family "Bacterial small subunit ribosomal RNA", at positions 57 to 968 of the family's 1533-position model. The record is from RNAcentral.